AAAAAGGUCUUUUUCAAGGCCACAAAUUUUAAAAAGGCAGAACAGU
This is a non-coding RNA of Stegodyphus mimosarum, 46 nucleotides long. The record is from Rfam. Lineage: Eukaryota; Metazoa; Arthropoda; Arachnida; Araneae; Eresidae.